CCCUUAGAUGGUCUGGGCGGCACGCGCGCUACAAUGAUGCAUUCAAAAAGUCUUCUGACCUUAGAAGGUUGGGUAUCCUCCAAAGUGCAUCGUGAUGGGAAUAGUUUAUUGCAAUUUUUAAUCUUGAACGAGGAAUUCCUAGUAAGUACAGGUCAUCAACUUGUGUUGAUUACGUCCCUGCCCUUUGUACACACCGCCCGUCGCUCCUACUGAUUGAGUGUCUCGGUGAAUUCUUUGAUCUUCUGUCGAUUCAGUUCACUGAUCCGACGGUGGAAAGUUGAAUGAACUUCGUCACUUAGAGGAAGGAGAAGUCGUAACA
This 319-nucleotide ribosomal RNA is filed under the name uncultured eukaryote. RNAcentral's name for it is "partial 18S ribosomal RNA". It matches the Rfam family "Eukaryotic small subunit ribosomal RNA", at positions 1470 to 1796 of the family's 1831-position model. The record is from RNAcentral.